CCUACGGGAGGCAGCAGUGGGGAAUAUUGGGCAAUGGAGGCAACUCUGACCCAGCAACGCCGCGUGAAUGAUGAAGGUCUUCGGAUUGUAAAGUUCUGUGAUGGGGGAUGAACACAAUGACGGUACCCCAAUAGCAAGCCACGGCUAACUACGUGCCAGCAGCCGCGGUAAUACGUAGGUGGCAAGCGUUAUCCGGAAUGACUGGGCGUAAGGGGUGCGUAGGUGGUUUAGUAAGUUGGCGGUGUAAUUCCGGGGCUUAACCUCGGCGCUACCGCCAAAACUAUUAGACUAGAGUGCAGGUGGGGUAAGUGGAAUACGUAGUGUAGCGGUGGAAUGCGUAGAUAUUAGGAGGAACAGCAGGGGCGAAGGCGACUUACUGGACUGUAACUGACACUGAGGCACGAAAGCGUGGGGAGCGAACAGGAUUAGAUACCCGAGUAGUC
Molecule: ribosomal RNA, 443 nt
Filed under: uncultured bacterium
Lineage: Bacteria
Description: partial 16S ribosomal RNA
Rfam family: Bacterial small subunit ribosomal RNA
Source: RNAcentral